This is a long non-coding RNA of Chinchilla lanigera (long-tailed chinchilla), 7158 nucleotides long. RefSeq lists it as uncharacterized. The record is from RefSeq and is a predicted model, not a curated record. The transcript is spliced from 3 exons. NCBI's taxonomy places the organism in Eukaryota, Metazoa, Chordata, Mammalia, Rodentia, Chinchillidae.
AGGACGCGGAGCCGAGCUGAGAGCGCUUGGCAGGUGCGCGGCGUGGGUCCCUCAGCUUAUGGGAAUGGGGCGAGGGGCUCAUUUCUCCGCCGCCCAGGUUCCCGGGUGCGCUCCCUGCUGCCUGGUCUGCAGCACCCUAAGCUCUGCUAGUGUUUCUUCAUCGUUAGCGGUGUUGAGAUUUAUUUGCAAACCUCAGGAUCUGCAAACCUUUAGUUCCGCAGGAACUAAACAGUGGGGAGGGUGGAGAGACAUCGCAUAACAAUGAUAGACUCCGUGGGGAGCACAGACUCGCUCCCCCCAUUACUGAUGAAGUGAGCAAAAGAGGACUGGAAACCAGCGCACACCCAAUCCUGGAGGAAGCCAAGGAGAAAUCCCGAGUAGUCUCCCACUACAAACUUGAAACACUGUACCCAGUGAAACAGCUGCGGUGGAGAACGGCAUCGAAGCUCAGCCCCGCGCCCCGGGAGCCGACUGGGGAAGAAAACAAUCCCGAAUAGAAAGCUGACUCUACCACCUACAGGACCCCAGGAGAGCUGGGCAGGUGGCUGGGGCUGAUCAUUUUCUAGGAGCCUGUAUGACAUUAAGCACAAUUCAAAGUCAAAGGACACUUUGUCGGAUACUGUCCUGACAAGCAUUGGUGGCAAAAGAGUUUGCCUGAAACUCGAUCUCAGAGAGAAGGCAGAGUGCUGGCCUUGCACAGACUGAGGGAGGCCGGGCUCGUGCUCACUGAGUGCCCAGGCUGUGGAAGAGUGGGUGACAGCUGCAGCUGUGGAACUCACUCAGCGGGAAGAGGGUCAGAGAGAAAUCUGCCACUGUAUACUUGAACAAACAGAAAUUCAUCAACAGCAACGCAUGCUAAAUAUGAGUAAGGUAAGGAUAUGAGUAAACAGCAUACCCCAAUCCAAGACAGUAGCAAAAAUGGAAGAAAAAGGAGGGAUGGGCAAAGCGUGUGAAGAAUCAAGGAAAUACAAGAAAAAAUUCUUUACAUGUGUUUCAUGUGAUAGGAUAAACUGAUCAGAACAUCCGCUUAAUAAAACAAGAAUCACAGGCCAUAGCACAACAAAAUGAGAAGGGAAAAAAGAUGACACAGCUAAGGAAGUCGAAUGAAAAUCAGAAAUAGUCCAAUAUAGAAAAUUAGAAGAUCUGAGAACUAGGUCUGGUACCACUCAGCUGAGUUACUGACUUGGAGGACAGCCUUGACUCAGGUACAAUUUGCAGAAGAAGGAUGGGUGUGUUUAAGCAACUAAGAGAGUCAAUGUUCUUGAAAAAGAAAACUUCACUAUUAGACUUUUUUCAGCCCCAUGUUUCUAGAAUGAAGGGAAUUAAUCUGCAUAUCAACAAUUCUAUGUUCCAGGAACAAAUGAUAUAGAACAACCCAAACCAAGAUGCCCUGGAUACGUGAUUGGACUUCCCAGAGAAUCUGCCUAGGGUCAGAUUUCUCCACCAUAGCUUUUAAUAUCAGAUGAAGAAGGAAGCAGUAUUUACAGAGUUCUUGGAAGAACGUGUAACCCGAGAAUAUUUCUGUUCACUGAAGUAAAUGGUCCCAAAUUUGAAAGGCUCUAGAAACUCAAGUAUAAUUAGCAUGUUACAAUGCAAACAAUAAAUUAGCAUGCUACAAUGAAAGUAAUAGAAAACGCCAUGUCCAGUGGCUUAACCAAGAAGAGGACUCUGACCUCCCAGGCUCUGAGGACACUGGGAGGCUGCUUCAGCUGAUGACCACAGCGGCUUAGUGGUGACACCUGGGGGAUCAGGCAAGGCCUUGUCUGUUCACCUUUUUGGCUGUAGUAGUGAUGGUGUUGAAUGACUCUUUGUGCUCAUAAAAUACCUGUAGCAGCUCUAGGCUUUCUAUUCUAACGUAGUAACAUCUGGAGGUUGAAGGAGGAUCGGCUUGGGCUCUCCUGCAGUAGGAGACAGAGAAGCAGAUAAAAGAAGCCAGUCAGGACUUGGCCAGCAGAGAAGCAGUCCCUGCUGUUGUGUAGACAGCACACAAUGGUGUGCCCAAAGCCUUGAACUCAUCUUGAAAACAAAUAACUUAACAGUGGAAUCCUGUCAGUAACAAGAUUCGUGUCUUUUUUUUGUUUGUUGUUUUGAAACUGGGUCCCCCUAGGUAUUUUCCAGGUUGGAUUUGAGCUUACUGUGUAGCUCAGACUGGCCUCAAACUCGUGGUGAUCCUCCUGCUUCAGCUUCCUGAGUGCUGGGAUUAUAGGCAUGCAUCACCAUGCCCAACUGUAAGAUACAUGUUGUGUUGGAGACACCAGCACAGUUUUCAAGAUGGGAAGACAAUGGAGCAAGGUCUGCCGGACUCGGACAGCAGGAGAACCAGCACAGCUCCUCCCAUUGUGUCCAGUGAGCUCUGCUAGUUGCUUCACUUACUGGCCACUUAUUCCAUCCCAGGCGCUGCUUACGAGCUGGCAUAAAUUCAUUCAUCAAUCUUUUCAUUAAUGUGAUGAGGUGGGUAGUCUUUCCAUCCUCAUUUACACCUCGUGGGUGCUAAAACCACAGAGAGUAAGCAACAUCUGUCCAAGGCCAGCCUCGAACUGAUCAUGGAGGUGAAUUCAAACCCCCUGGGGUCUGGCUUCAAGGACUGUACCCCCUUAACUGUUAUCUUUGUGUGGGUAUCAGAGCCUACCUCCAUUGUUUUAAAACCUGUGUUGAUAGCAGUAGUUACCUUGACUGUUGAAAAACUAGUUUUCUGUGAGCUAAAUGUUAACUAAAAAUAGGAGUCCUCAAACCACUCACACCUCAGGAAAAACCCUUGCCACCUAGCUAAGUGGAAACAGUAGAAAAGAAACUUGAUCCCCAGUGUUUAAUAAUGCAUACAGCCUUCUGACUGUACUUCUGGCCUCUAGAGAUGAGGCUUCCGGUCUCUGAAUAUGUAGGAAGUUACUUGGGCACACAUUUGCUGAUGCCUGGCCUGUGCAGUGCCCAAGAGGCCGCCGUGUGCAGUAGAGCCGGCUCGCUGGGACAGGAGCGAGUUCUGUCAUCAAGGCACACAUCGCCACAGCUACGCAUGAGCAGCCUUCUGAGCCUUUACAUUCAUGCCCCCUCCCCCGUUGUCUUCGUGGAUUGCAGGCUACACUGUCUUUUGUCACACAUUCCUUCUUGUUCUCAACAACUCCGUGCGCUAAGGACAGUGUUCUGUGCACGGCUCACCCGCAGCUGGGUUAUGUCACAGCGCUGUCCUUGUCUGUGAGAGGGAAGCGCAGGCUCUGCAAGUGAGACUGCUCCGGCGAGCGGUCGAGAACCCAAGAGGGUGACACCUACCCGGACGUCAUCCUAACAAUCUGGACUAUUUCCAAGGGUCACACGAAGACAGUUGUUGUGAGUGAGUUGUCACACACUCCAGACCCGCAGGUCUCUACAGCGAUUGUUUCCAUCCCAUCAUGAUGGUCUGGCCAGAGCGGGGCACAUGGUUCCCUACCACAUCUGAGCCUCUGAAGGGGGGAGCCAGAGCUCAAGCACCCAGAGGCAGCAGCUGUCGGUCUAGAUUCAGCCUGAGACGAGGCGGGCUGCAAGGAUGAGCAGGGCCGUUUCCUGCCACAAGGUGGCGGGCGCUCCCCUACCCAAUCAAAAGGGGCCCCACUUCCGGGGCAUCCCCUGCACCUCUGCACCUCCUGCAAGGACCAGCCUCCUCCCUCUCCUCUGCAACUCCUAUUUCCCCAGUAACAGAAAGAGUAGAACAGCAAAACAGGAAGACACCAGGGGAGGGCCCAGCGGCAAAUGCCAGAACACCGUCAUAGCCGAGCCAUGGGGAGGACACUGCCUGCAACCUUGAGGCAGGGAGGAGAUUCUCCAAGGACACAGAGUGGCUCCCUUCUCCAGGGAGACCUGUGCUCUGCUCCGUCCUGCUGGACCCUGUUUCCGAGUCCGUCCUCCUCAUAAUGAGACUGCCAGGCGUGAUUCAACUUCCUGUCCUUCGGGUGUGUAUGAAGUCUAUUGCACAGAUAUUUGCUAUACAGAGCACACAGCACACUGUGAUAGAAGACGACUAGAAGAACUGAGCCUUCAAGAGGGCAGCAGAUGUGCUGAAGGGAAAGAUUCUUACUAAGUUGCCCAGGGUGGGCUCGAACCUGUGAUCCUCUAGCUUCAACCUCUCGAUCCCAGAGUGCUGAGAUUACAGGCAUGCAUCACCACAUCAGGACUUUUCUGUCUCCUUGAAUCAACUUCAGCAAUGUCUACACAGUGAGAAGACCCCACUUCCAUCACGCCGCUCAAAGCAAGUGACACCGUGUCCUGAAUGGUUUUUAAAUUGUCACGUGCUGGAAAAAGUAGAGAGCGUAGCUACUAGUGCCACGGCGACCAUCUGACUGCCAUGAUUUAUGUCCAGGAGGUUCGGCUCGUGUAGCACUUGUGUGAAAACUCAGUGCCUGGACGUGGCUGGCAGUGCUGCCCACGGAGGAGUGCAGCCUUCCCAGGGUGAGUUCCUGAGCCCACCACAAGUCUGGAGUGCCGGAGUAGACAGCAGCGACUACCCGGGCCCUGCCUUCAUUGAUGGGCACUUCAAGGUGCAGAGAGGAAGGGGAGCUUCCGGUGGGCUUUGAUUCCACGGCAGCACGCCGCUCAGGUGGGCCUGCGGCAGGAGAAGCAGCCCUGAAGGAUGAAAGUGGAAAGGUGGGGAAGUUCACUGUGAAUUGGAAACCCUUCUGCUUUAAACCAGAUGGAAGAAACACUUUCUGUGCUUCUAAGUCACUCCACAUAAGAGGAGUAUUUUGCCAGCUAUUAAACUGUCUGCUGUGACAUGCCUCUUUUUAUGUCUGAUGUUACAUCUGUAUGAAAAGAAGUCGAUGGCACGCUAACCUUGUUACAUACGCAUAUGCAAGUGGAAUGGAGUCGAGCAUGAGCUUGUUAAUCCAGCGUCGUGGAGGUAAACUCUGGUGGGACCUUGGCGGAGACCCCAAGACCUAACGGUCAUGGUUUUGACUCUUCCUAAGCAACCCCAAGUUCAGGAGCAUGCUAUCACUUGCGGUAGGCACAGUUCUAACUUCAGAAGACUGUUCUAUGAACGGACCACAAAUCCCGGCCAACCCGCCGUUGUGUGGUAGAUAGUCAGUCCCAUAAGCCAGAGGUCCCCAGACUUUUUGGUGCCAGGGACCAGUUUCACAGAAGAAAAUUUUUCCACGAAUGGAGAGUGGAGGGGUACUCAGGAUAAUUCAAGGGAGCUGGCAACCUGGAGCCCUCACAUGUGCAGUUCACAUUAGGGUUCAUGCUCCUCUGGGAAUCUAACGUCCCCCUGACCCACCAGGAGGUGGAGCUCAGGCAUUGAUGUGAGUGAUGCGGAGCGGCUGGGAAUACAGAUGAAGCUUUGUGGGCCCAUCCACCACCCACCUCCUGCUGUGUGGUCUCCUUCCAGGCCAGUAUGUGUCCAUGGCCCAGGAACUUGGGGACCCUGCCUUAAGUUACACAGGGAUCCCCUCAAAAUCCACAUCACAAUGCACAGUAUUCCUAACUUUAGGGUUGGCAUAAACCUUGGGAUUCAUCCCAGAUUGUCCCUUCCUGGGUUGGAACAGGUAUUGUUGAGAAUAGUCAUUUUGAAACCCACACAGCUGAACCGACGUUCCCGGACAGCAGGCAGCUUCGCCUGUGAACCUCGGCUUCGCCCAGCUGUUCCGGAUAACAUCCCUGAAGCAUGCCUUGGACUAGAAAUGAGUCUGGUCUGGUAGAUUUGGUUGAGAAUUUGCUAGUAAACUCAUUUAAAAGGGAUAUGAGCAAUCUGAACGCUACGCUCUGCAUGGUGUUCCAAGAAGAAUAGAUCUUGCAAACACCAAAGUCGUUUUACGUCAGUAAGCAUCACUUCCGGGGGAAAUGAGUAUGACUGUGUGUGUGUGUGUGAUUCUUAUAUGCUGCCUCUAUUCUCUAUAAAUAAAACUGCCCAGUGUGAGAAAAAAAAUGAACAGGAACUAGACAGAGACAGGAUGUUUUCUUUAUUAUUAUUAUCCUGUUUUUUUUCACAAACAUGGAGGCAGCUUUUGUAACCCAGAUGUGAAGGAGGUUAUUUCUCAUUGUUUUAACACCUGCUGUCUUUCAAAAGGAGCACAACUUCCACAAGCCAUUGAUAAAUUCAGUCUCAAACCUAUCUAAAAAAUAAUGGUCUUGUGUAUUUUGAUACUUCCGAGUAAAUAACAUGUGUGUGUCCCUUUCUGUUUUGUGCUGUGCUUGUCCCUCACGUGCUCUUGUUUGUUGUUUCAUUUUCACAGUGCUUAUACUAAAACAAUAGCUUGUGGUUACCUGGGGUAGAAAGCUAAUUACAAAUAACAGCUGCAGUGUUCAUAAAGCACAAGUGUACAUUGAGUCUUUUAUGAGGCUUCUUUAGGGACCCGGAUUGGCGCUUAGCAGUUUUACGUUCUCUGCUCUUUGACUCAUUUGCAACAUGCAAUCUAAGAGCAGAGAAAACACCUGCAUUAUCUAUUUCUCCUCAGACAAUGCCACUAGCUGUAUAAUUAUAGAAACUUAAAAUUUCUGCUUAUAGUAGAAACAUAAGCUCGGUUUUAAGAAAACCAGACGGGAGGCUGGGAACAGUUUGCAUACACUUUUACCCCAUCUUCCAGGCUUCUGUGUCUGUCCUCUGCUCACUCUUUCUACCCAUAAAUGUGGCCCUGCCUUAGAUGUGACCUUGCCCUACACCAGAGUGAGGAGGGUGGUAGCCCUCACGGCCCUUAGAUUGCUGCCCAGCUUCAAGUGCCACACUCAUGGGAAUAUCUUAGUGGCUUAGGUAAUCCGCAUGGUCUGUCCAUCUGUGGAGGGUUUUAGUGUUGAAGCCUUCCUGGGCAGGUGGCCAUCAAGUGUUCUCAGGGAGUCUCUGCGUAGCUCUUCUGUGUAGGGUCUACUAAUAAUUUCAGACGUCUCGGUUGCUCUACCGUGAAAUACACAAAGAUACGUUUGGUAGCUUGUCCUUAUUAUACACUGCUAAAUUGCUGUGUGGGGAGAUGGAGGAUUUUUCACAUCUAGGUUCCUGAAGGGUAGUCAGUCUAUAGUUUUCUUUCAGCAUCUAUGUCAGGCAUUGUUACCAGGGCCAUAUUGGUGUAGUAGUCAGUGGCCUUGUUGCUGAGAUACAGCACUGGACACUCCGUAGCUUGAAGAAGAUGUUGAACUGUGGCUCACACUUUUCAGAGGGUUCAGAGCGUGAUCACUGUCUCUAAGGCAGAAACAUCAUGGUGGAAA